AUGCCGGCGGCGUCCGUGUCCUGGUCGUCGCUGCCCCCCGACCUCGUCAGCUGCGUUGGGGAAAUCCUCCUCUCUGCCGGUGACAUCGACUCCUACAUGACCUUCCGUGCCGCGUGUCGCAGCUGGCGUGCCGCCACGGAUGAUCCAUGCGGCCUAAGCCGCCGCUUCCGUCCCCAUAGAUGGGUUAUGCUCGACGAUCUCUCCCGCCACGUCGACUCCCGCCUCUUUCUUAACCUCGACACCGGGCGCUUCCUACGGAAGAACGUGCCCCUCCUCAACGACGGUGCCUACACCUAUGUCGGCGCGGCCGACGGUCUUAUCCUCCUGAAAGUGGACACUGGGUAUGGCUGCGACAUAUGCAUCCUCAACCCCUUCACGGGUUCGACGCUCCGCUUCCCUUCAGGCCUUGCGUCUCGUCGCCAAUGCUCCCGCGUCGCUGUGACCGCCGACGCGACGGCGCCACUCGUCUUUCUCUUUCUUGACUGUUUAGGCGGAGUGUGCUAUGAUCCGAGUAACCCUCUCCCCCGGUGGUUUAGUGCCGAACGCAGUCCGGUCAACAUGCUCAUUAACGUGUUGUCCUUCCAAGGCCGCGCAUAUAUCGCCGAUGCUGGUGGGUCAGUUAAGGUCGUGGGUUGCCCGAAGGGGCCGCAUACCAACCUUGAGAUCACUACCAUCAUCAAACACAAUAGUGUAACAGAGCGAAGCUUCCUCGUGGAUAACGUCGGGGAGCUAUUGCUUGUAGGCAAGCUACCAUCGAUGCCAGGCCACCCACGGUACUCGCCGUUUGUAAGGCGCAUGCACGUCUUCAGGCUUGACCUCGAGAGGAAAGCCUUGGAGCCGAUCAAGAGCAUCGGAAACCGUGCUAUAUUCCUUGGUCCCGGCCACUGUCUCUCCAUCGACACUAACCAUCUUCCUGCCAUCGAAGCUAACUGCAUCUACUACUACAAUGUCAAGGAAAAAGACAUUCAGAUGUAUUUGUACCACCUUGAGGACGGCAGCCGGGAGUUGCUCACAUCUCCCCCUCUACACGGUCCCUCGAGUCUUGCGCAGAUUAUCCUAGAAUACUGCAGGGGGAGAUCAUAA
RNAcentral lists this ribosomal RNA (1083 nucleotides) under Triticum aestivum (bread wheat). RNAcentral's name for it is "partial small subunit ribosomal RNA". The record is from RNAcentral. Lineage: Eukaryota; Viridiplantae; Streptophyta; Magnoliopsida; Poales; Poaceae.